This 1468-nucleotide long non-coding RNA is filed under the name Callithrix jacchus (white-tufted-ear marmoset). RNAcentral describes it as "lncRNA (ENSCJAG00000076148.1)". The record is from RNAcentral. Lineage: Eukaryota; Metazoa; Chordata; Mammalia; Primates; Cebidae.
UGCAAUCCACCUCCUGCCCACCUUCACCCACUUGGAGGGACAGGGUUCUCUGCAGCCAGCUGGGGCAUUAGUCUCACGAGCAGGUAGCACCUGCCCCAUGCCUUCCCUGGGAGAGGGUGUCAUGAGAGGCCCACCUGGCUCUUCCUUGGGAUUCUUGAAUCUAUAUAUAUAUAGAGAGAGAGAGAGAGAGAGAGAGAGAUGGAGUCUUGCUCUGUUGCCCGGGCUGGAAUGCAGUGGCACGAUCUCAGCUCACUGAAACCUAUGCCUCCUGGGAUCAAGUGAUUCUCCUGCCUCAGCCUCCUGAGUAGCUGGGACUACAGGUGCACGCCACCACACCUGGCUAAUUUUUUUUUGUAUUUUUAGUAGAGACGGGGUUUUAGGGUUUCACCAUGUUGGCCAGUCUUGUCUUGAACUCCUCACCUCAGAUGAUCCGCCUGCCUUGGCCUCCCAAAAUGCUGGGAUUACAGGUGUGAACCACUGCACCCGGUAGAAUCCACAUUUUCUAAGGAGCCGGGGAGGCGGCUGUUUUCAGAGACAAGCCUUCCCGUGACAUAAUAGGUUGUCUUGUUUAUGAGCCUCCUCCUGCCCUUGGCAGCCUUGCCUUCAGCCUUGCCAUCCUUGGCCAGCAGCCUAGUAGCAGGCUGGGCAGGGCUCACAGAUGGGCAGCUUUCAUUCCAGCUUCCUGUGUGGAUGAAGCCCACGUCCCUAGGGGGUCAAGUGACAAAGUGAGUGCAAAUGAGCCCCGGUGCCCUAGCCCAGCCACUGACCUCGAUAUAACAGUAAGCAGAGAAGUCAUCUCUCUAUUUUUAACCACAGUAUUUGUGGACCUCUGUUUUGUAGAAGCUUAGCCCGUAUCCUGCACACUGUCAGAUGCUUUGUGGAGUCAGUGGCCUUUGACCUUGAGAAGCGUACAGUGGGCGGCAUGGGGGGAAAUCAGUGUAGAAAGAAAUUUUCUGGUGGCACCUUCAUGGGACUCCUCACAACUCCAAAAUACUUAGGAACCUUCUAUGCUCAGAAGAGGACACAAAUGGCUGUUAGAAAUUCCUUGCAAUGUUGCAAUGAUGGUUCCAGUUGCUUCACUGUUUCCCAAGGGGGGAAGUGACAAUUGACAGAAUCACCUGAAAGCGCCUUUGCUACAUCACUGAUCUUCCCCUUAAAUCCCUUCCUCUGGGAUUCUUCCCCAUCUCAGACGGAAACCCCAUCUUUCCAGGUGUGUGGGCCACUGACGGUGGAGUUGCGACUUUCCGUUUUCCUAUAGACCCCAUUUCUAAUACAACUGCCAGUGCUGUCAGCAUCGCGUCACAGUGUGCUCAGAAUCUGACUGCCUCUCACCACCUCGAUCCAUGGCACCCUGUGCCGCACCUGCGUGGAGCUGCAACGGUCUCUUCCUUGAUGCUCAUGAAGCCCUCUCAGCACUCUGCUUGCUUCUAUCCCUUCCGCCCCUCCUCUCAGGUCAUCUCGCCCUUGG